AGUGGCUGAAAAUUGGGUGUUACAAAAGCUAAGAAUAGUUUGAACAUAGAACAAACUUCUGAUUUGUGUUGCGAGAAGUAAACCCACGUAUAUCUACUGUAGUCAUCGAUAAACGUCACAAAAUAUUUGUAUUGACCAUGAGAAAUGAUAGGACUAAUACCCCAAACAUCACUAUGAAUUAUUUCAAAUGCGUAAGUUGCUCUACUUCCUUCAGAAGGAAAAGGUAAAAUCUUACUUUUGCCCAGUCUGCAAGUUGUACACACAGGAAAAAUAGUGGAAGAAGAAUACUCUUUAUCAGAUAACAGACCAGAUUUCAAUAAAUAAGAUAGAAUCCUAGAAUUAGGAUGGCCAAGACGCUUAUGCCAAACUUCAUUUGACACUUUAGACUCAUUACAAAGUAAAGAUAGGACUAAGGAAGAUAAGCUACGUGGAACAGGUAAUUGCAGAGAAAAGAGACGUCCGUGCUUAGGCCCCUUCACUAUCACCUGCCCUGACAUCCGAUCCUGUACAAUACAACCAUCAUUAGUAAAAUGUACAUUAUAGUUUUGGUCCACAAGCUUGCCGACAGAUAUCAAAUUCACAGAGAGAUUUGGUGACACAAGAACAUCAUUAAAGUUAGAUGAUACAUCACCAACUGCCACAAUGGGUAGAGCAUUACCAUUGGCUGUUUGAAUAUGUGAUGAGCUAACAUACUUUCUGAUAUUACUUAAUCUAUGGAGAGUAUUAGUCAUAUGAUUUGAGGCGCCCGAGUCUAAGAUGCAAGAAAUAGAGGAAGAACCAUUACCUUGAAGACCAAAAGCUGAAAAAGCACUCACAAUCAUUUCAUGCACCGUCUCUCGAGUUAUAACAAGUUCUGGAGGUUGUAAACUAACAGCAGAUGUUGUAGCAUCCACAGUAGUAAAGGCUGGUUGUGAACCAGCAAAAGUAACAGCAACAUGAGAAGCCUUAUUGGAACGCGAAGGACGAACAUGACACUCUUUAAUAAUGUGCCCUGAUUGCUUGCAGUAGUUACACACUUUCUGAGGGUAGUGAGGAGCAAUAUGGUCAUACUUCUUACAACUAUAGCACUGUGUGGUGCUCAUAUCACGUCCCUUUCCCUUACUAUGAGCAACAUAGGCAACUGAGACAGGAUUAGAAGAAACACGUGCCUGCUCCAUAAUAUUUUGAGUAUUGAGACGUUGUUCCUCAUGCAAGAGUUCUCCAAAACAUGCCUCCAAAGUUGGAACAGGAUCUCUAUUUACUAGAGAGGCACGAACGGAUUCAAAAUCAGACCUUAAUUUCCUCAGAAAUUGGUCUCUUUGGCUGGUUUUGUGUAUGUGUUGUACUACCUCCAACCCUUCUGCAGAGACCUUGGCUGUAACAAGGUUUGAAUAAUCAUUCCACAAAGUCAGGAAACCAAAGUAAUAAUCUUGAAUAGAUAGGUCUCCUUAGGUAUAGUUAGUAAUAGCCAACUCAAGCUAGAAACGCCUAGCAUUGUUGUUUUGGUUAUAGACUUGCUUGAGAUAAUCCCACAUAGCCUUUGCAGACCUAUGGGGACGCAAAGCAAGAAUCGGAUAUGGUUCCAUAGAACUAAGAAUCCACAACAUGAUCUGGUUAUGUCAGCAGCAGUAGAACCUCCAUUGUUGCUCCCAUCUAUAUGACCCCAGAGCUAUUUUCUUUUGAGAAAUGUUUCCAGUUGAAACUCCCAGGCAGAAUAAUUUUUGCCAGUGAAUCUAACACAAACAUUAUUUGACUUCUCCAUAAUUCUUGAGGCUAUGACUGAAAAAAUAUAUAUUUCUUAGACUAUGGCUCUGAUACCAUAUCAAAAUGGUUUGAAUUGUCUUCUCUUCUGAGAAGGUCUUUCAUUUAUAUAGGUAAAAUUAACCACUAUACAAGGAAACUUAAACUAUAAAUGCUAAUUACGUAAAGUGAUUUUAGGGAGCUAUAUCUGGUAACUUACAUAUGGUAAGCCAAAUCUCUACUCCUAUUUACAGCCUAGAUUAAUGAGUCAAUUACAGAAUUUAUGCCCUUGAUAUGUUGCUUUCUAUUGAUGAGUCAAUCACAGAAUUUAUGCCCUUGAUAUGUUGCUUUCGAUUGAUGAGUCAAUCACAGAAUUUAUGCCCUGAUAUGUUGCUUUCUGUUGACAUUAAUAACCAUUCCCAAGAUCUUCUUAGCUUUCCCUAAAUCUUUCAUAUCAAUUUCUUAUAAUCUCAAUUUUGGCAGGACUGGUUAACAACAUAUCAUCCACAUAUAGAAGCAGAUAGACUUCACUUCGACUUCUAACAUUGUUAUAGUACAGACAUGGAUCAUAUUCACUUCUCUUAAACUCAAUCCUAAGCACAUAUGUGUCAAACCUUAUAUAUCACUGCCUUGGGCUUUGUUUAAGCCUAUAUAGUGAUUUUUGUAAUUUGCAGACAUAGUUAGUUUUACCUUUCACCUCAAAACCUUGAGGCUGACCCCUACACACAUAUAAGAAGACAGUCUUAACAUCUAAUUGUUCAAGUUUCUAGUCAAAUUGAACAACUAGUACAAGCAUCGACUUAAUAGUUUUGUACUUGAUUACUGGUAAAAACAUUUUAUUAUAACCAAUCCCCUUUGGCAACUAGC
This 2586-nucleotide long non-coding RNA is filed under the name Olea europaea subsp. europaea. The record is from RNAcentral. Lineage: Eukaryota; Viridiplantae; Streptophyta; Magnoliopsida; Lamiales; Oleaceae.